GAUGAACGCUGGCGGCGUGCUUAACACAUGCAAGUCGAACGGAAAGGCCCAAGCUUGCUUGGGUACUCGAGUGGCGAACGGGUGAGUAACACGUGGGUGAUCUGCCCUGCACUUCGGGAUAAGCCUGGGAAACUGGGUCUAAUACCGGAUAGGACCACUUCUUGGAUGUUGUGGUGGAAAGUUUUUUCGGUGUGGGAUGAGCUCGCGGCCUAUCAGCUUGUUGGUGGGGUAAUGGCCUACCAAGGCGUCGACGGGUAGCCGGCCUGAGAGGGUGUACGGCCACAUUGGGACUGAGAGACGGCCCAGACUCCUACGGGAGGCAGCAGUGGGGAAUAUUGCACAAUGGGCGCAAGCCUGAUGCAGCGACGCCGCGUGGGGGAUGACGGCCUUCGGGUUGUAAACUCCUUUCGCUAGGGACGAAGCGUUUUGUGACGGUACCUGGAGAAGAAGCACCGGCUAACUACGU
This 466-nucleotide ribosomal RNA is filed under the name uncultured bacterium. Its description in RNAcentral is "partial 16S ribosomal RNA". It matches the Rfam family "Bacterial small subunit ribosomal RNA", at positions 28 to 506 of the family's 1533-position model. The record is from RNAcentral.